UAACCUUGUUUAGCUGCUUCAGAGUCGGAGUCUUUCUCAGUUCUGAACAAAACACACCACACCAGAAAUAUACAAGUCAUCUCAAAGAUUGCCACUGAAACAGCAAACCAUAGCAGAAAGUUGAGAGACCAAGCUCCACGAGCCUUUUCGUAUGUUCUGUUUAGCUGCACAGCAAAGUCUCUUGAACAUUCUAACCGUGAUUCUGUGCUUAUCUUUUUGACAGAGUUCAUAUUGGCCUUUGGCAAUUUUAGGUACAAGUUUCCGGAGAAACUCGGCGUAAUAAACCCAUUGAACAGUCGGAUCUUGGGGUAACAUAAAUACCCAUUGUUGUUGGUCAUAUCGUAAUCAAAUACGAAACCUCUGCAACUACACAUACUCAAGCAUCUCUCUUUACAAGC
This 398-nucleotide long non-coding RNA is filed under the name Carica papaya (papaya). RNAcentral's name for it is "long non-coding RNA (CPAP_LNC011130)". Lineage: Eukaryota; Viridiplantae; Streptophyta; Magnoliopsida; Brassicales; Caricaceae. The record is from RNAcentral.